Molecule: long non-coding RNA, 366 nt
Filed under: Oryza brachyantha (malo sina)
Lineage: Eukaryota; Viridiplantae; Streptophyta; Magnoliopsida; Poales; Poaceae
Description: long non-coding RNA (OBRA_LNC002521)
Source: RNAcentral
CGGCCGGUGGCCCGAAUCGCCGGGGCUGGGCGGUGGGAGAGCAGGCAGCCAAAACCACGCGGCAGUCCUCCCUCUCUCCCGCCUCACCGGAUCUCGCUCUCCGUCUACCUCCCGAUCCGGCUCCCCAUGCGAGCCUAUCCUUGCGAGCUUUCCUCCUUUUUCGCUCCCCCCGGCUAAAAAGCUCGAGAGGGGUCGAAUCGCACACAGAGGUGAGCUCGCGGGAGGCGCGUCUGGGUCGUCGGCGGCGGCGCCGGGAGGGCGAAGCGGCGGGUGGGUCGAUCGCCGGGGAGGGAGGGAGGGAGGAGGAGGAGGCGGCGGUGUGUGAUGCGAUGCUCUCUGGCUCCGAUGAUGCGAUUGGACCGAUCU